Cinara cedri is the source of this 848-nucleotide non-coding RNA. The record is from the annotation of a GenBank genome assembly. Lineage: Eukaryota; Metazoa; Arthropoda; Insecta; Hemiptera; Aphididae.
CUAAUUUAUAGGUUGAUAACUCAACGUAUCGAGAAGUAAUCUGAUAAGUAAUCAGAUUAAUCCAAUUUGAUGGAGAACAUCGAAAUAAAUAAGAUUGUUUAUCUGAUUAAUAAUCUAGGUUGUCAAGGAACAUACGGAUUGUUGAUGAGUAUACCACCGUUUUAGAAAAGAAGUUGGAAGAAAUAAUGUACUGAGUAUAAUUUAAUUUAGUUUAUAUCUAUAUGUAACUAUAAAUCAUUGCUAUUGAAAAACGAUUCUAAGCAGAUGAUUAUUUGUUAUAAUUUUACCCUUUUUUCAAUGUAACCCAAAAAUCAACAAUAAUUAUACCAAAUAAUCUCAAUUUUUCUAUUUAUUUAGACAAUCACAAAGAGCUGAUAUACUGCUGAUGGGUGCGUCACUGUUACAGAUAGAAAGUUUCACUGAAAUACAAUAAAAAAAUCAAAAUCAAGUAUAAAAGACGUUUUUCUUGAUUUCCCCCCAUUAUUAAGAGCGUAACAAGGAAAAUAAUCUUCUCACUGUACCGACUAAACAAUACCCAUUUUCAACUAAAAUUCAUCCUCCCUAAAGUUGAUAAUUUUGGCCAAAUGUUUGGUAGAAAAGUUGUUUAUAGACAGAAAAAAUAGCUAGUACUGUAGAUGGGUGUGUCACUGUCGUAGGUGGGAAGUUAGGAAAUUAAGGUACAUAAUGUUAUUUAAAUUAUAUCUGUAAGCAAUGGUGAACUAUUGUUAACGAAAGACGAUUCUUAGAGAACAUACAUUAUUUUUAAAUAUCGUAAUAUUUACGAUUUUCAUAUAAAUUUGAUUUUAAAAAACUUAAAUAUUACGCCAAACUAUUUUUUUCAACUUAUA